Chelonoidis abingdonii (Abingdon island giant tortoise) is the source of this 167-nucleotide unclassified non-coding RNA. NCBI's taxonomy places the organism in Eukaryota, Metazoa, Chordata, Testudines, Testudinidae. The record is from Ensembl.
UUGCCAGCCCUGGAGAAUGGAUUCCUCUAUUGACUCAUGCACAAAGGACAGCACAGGCAGCAGCAGUGCAAGCUUUCACCAUCCUGCCCUAGCCAUGUGCCUCAGCCCUGGCCCAGACAGGGGAAGGAGAGCUCACUUGCCAUUCCCAGCGGCUGAGAUUGCCCACA